Molecule: ribosomal RNA, 371 nt
Filed under: Eremias velox velox
Lineage: Eukaryota; Metazoa; Chordata; Lepidosauria; Squamata; Lacertidae
Description: partial 12S ribosomal RNA
Rfam family: Bacterial small subunit ribosomal RNA
Source: RNAcentral
CUGCUCUCCGCCAGAGAACUACAAGUGAAAAACUUCAAACUCAAAGGACUUGGCGGUGUCCCAUAUCGGCCUAGAGGAGCCUGUCCUAUAAUCGAUACUCCCCGCUCUACCUAACCUCAACUAGCACUCCACAGCCUAUAUACCGCCGUCGACAGUCUACCCCAUGAGGGCCCAACAGUAGACACAAUAGCCCAACCGCUAACACGUCAGGUCAAGGUGUAGCACAUGCUGAGGAAGAGAUUGGCUACAUUUUUUACAUUAAAAAACACGAAAUGCAACAUGAAACCCUGCAUGAAGGUGAAUUUAGUAGUAAGAUCUAAUGAGAGUAUUUAUCUUAACAACGCUCUGGGACGCGCACACACCGCCCGUCA